ACAGCGUCCUCUUUGUGUGUGAAGGACGGAAGGCAUACUGGUUCUGAUGACUCACAGGCAGCAGUGAGUAGGAGGGAGAAAGUCUGAGCAUUGCCUAGAAGCAACCCUUCCGCUUCAACAGGCACACCGACAAUGCAGCAAGGAACAAAUGAUUCAAACCUCCUCGUCUAAAAACGUCACCUGUGAAAUCCCAGAUGCAGUGGGAACUGCUUUGAUGUCUAAUUGGGUUACCCUUUUACUUAGUCUCAGGGUCAGUGAGAUCGUCAUAUCAAAGGAAGUUCAUCUUGGUUUCUAAAUGCCUUCGUUGAACAUCAUCCUUUAUGUCACUGUGCUGGGCCUUCUCUGAAGACGAUACUAAACCGACAAGGGCCACAGGACCCAGAGAUGAUGACCAAUUAUCCUAUAGUUUCCAGGAAACGUUUACAUUUCUUGAAAUUCAAAAUAAACAAGUAUUUGUAAAGUCAACUUGAAAAAAUAUAUUACUUUUGUGCUCUCAUUUCCUAUGAUUUUUUCAUAUAAUUCUCAAGAAAUACUACGGUAGGUUUUUGUUAUUUGUUUUUUGAGACAGGAUUUCUUUGUGGAACAGCUCUGGCUGUCCUGGAACUUGCUCUGUAGACUAGGCUGCCCUUGAACUUCAGAGAUCGUCCUACUUCUGCCUCCGGAUUGCUGGGAUUAAAGGUGUGCCCUAUUACUGCCCAGCAUAUCAUAAAUUCUUGAGACAGCUCAAUGAGCUAAGGUAUUUAUUGCUGAGCUUGACAACCUAAAUUUAAUUCCUAGGACCCACAUGGUGGAAGGAGAGGACUGAACCCCACAAGUUGUACUCUGACCUUCAAGUGCAUCUGUGCAUAAAAAAACAAAUUAAGUAAAUGCAGUAACAAAGAAUAGUCUUGUUCAAAUCACACUCAUGAAUAAAGGUGUAUGUUCAUUUUAUCUUAGAUUUUCUCUAAGUUGGAAUUUAUUUUUAAUUAAUUAUUUUGGAUUUUCAAGACAGGGUUUCUCUGUGUAGCCCUGGCUAUCCUUGAACUUGUUCUGUAAACUAGGUUGGUCUGGAACUCAAGUGCUGGGAUUAAAGGUGUGUGCCAUCACCAUGCAGCUUUGGAAUUUAUUUUUUGUGCUUGAGUGUUUGCCUGCAUGUAUGUAAGUUAACUGUGUGUGCAGUGCUCCUGAAAGACUGAAGAGAGUGUUGGAUUCCCUGAACUAGUUACAGAUGGUUGUGAGCAGCUGGGAACUGAACCCUAGCUCCUUGCAAGAGCAGCAGGUGCUCCUAACUACCGG
This 1275-nucleotide long non-coding RNA is filed under the name Cricetulus griseus (Chinese hamster). Its description in RNAcentral is "lncRNA (ENSCGRG00015034015.1)". Lineage: Eukaryota; Metazoa; Chordata; Mammalia; Rodentia; Cricetidae. The record is from RNAcentral.